RNAcentral lists this ribosomal RNA (441 nucleotides) under uncultured freshwater bacterium. RNAcentral's name for it is "bacterial SSU rRNA". It matches the Rfam family "Bacterial small subunit ribosomal RNA", at positions 8 to 493 of the family's 1533-position model. The record is from RNAcentral.
AGAGUUUGAUCCUGGCUCAGAACGAACGCUGGCGGCAGGCUUAACACAUGCAAGUCGAACGGACGUAGCAAUACGUUAGUGGCAGACGGGUGAGGAACACGUGGGAACAUUCCUUUCAGUUCGGAAUAACUCAGGGAAACUUGAGCUAAUACCGGAUACGUCCUUCGGGAGAAAGAUUUAUCGCUGAAAGAUUGGCCCGCGUCUGAUUAGCUAGUUGGUGAGGUAAUGGCUCACCAAGGCUACGAUCAGUAGCUGAUCUGAGAGGAUGAUCAGCCACAUUGGGACUGAGACACGGCCCAAACUCCUACGGGAGGCAGCAGUGGGGAAUAUUGGACAAUGGGCGCAAGCCUGAUCCAGCCAUGCCGCGUGAGUGAUGAAGGCCUUCGGGUUGAAAAGCUCUUUUGUCCGAGGAGAUAAUGACUGUACCGGAAGAAUAAGCCC